Molecule: ribosomal RNA, 443 nt
Filed under: uncultured bacterium
Lineage: Bacteria
Description: partial 16S ribosomal RNA
Rfam family: Bacterial small subunit ribosomal RNA
Source: RNAcentral
CCUACGUGGGGCUGCAGUGGGGAAUAUUGGGCAAUGGGCGCAAGCCUGACCCAGCAACGCCGCGUGAAGGAAGAAGGCUCUCGGGUUGUAAACUUCUUUUAUCAGGGACGAAGCAAGUGACGGUACCUGAUGAAUAAGCCACGGCUAACUACGUGCCAGCAGCCGCGGUAAUACGUAGGUGGCAAGCGUUAUCCGGAUUUACUGGGUGUAAAGGGCGUGUAGGCGGGAAAGCAAGUCAGAUGUGAAAACCAUGGGCUCAACCUGUGGCCUGCAUUUGAAACUGUUUUUCUUGAGUACUGGAGAGGCAGACGGAAUUCCUAGUGUAGCGGUGAAAUGCGUAGAUAUUAGGAGGAACACCAGUGGCGAAGGCGGUCUGCUGGACAGCAACUGACGCUGAGGCGCGAAAGCGUGGGGAGCAAACAGGAGUAGAUACCCGAGUAGUC